AUCGUCUGCUAACUAUUUUGCCUCCAGUUCCCGGUAGUUAUUUUACCGCCUUUUCUGCUUGCAAUUCACGAUUUUCUCAUGUUUUCAGUGCACUAUAUAAGUGAUUGUUAAUUGAUAUUCCUCACUCGAGGUUGAAUAUUUGACAGCAUAACAAGUAUUUUGAUUAUUUGUUUAUUCUCGUAAGAAAACUUGACAAACCCUUCUGAGACGAAUAUUCAGUUUUUGGACAUCAUUUGCAUCUGGAAAUGAACACUUAACGUAAUACUCAGCUAAAAAGGUAGCAAUUUCGGAAAGAUGUUGCUGUUGGCUUUUAGCAUAAUCACAGAAAACAACAAUAGAAAGUUGCUGAUUGAUUUUGAAUCGUGUGAUGUUGUGGUUAGCACAGAAGCUUUGACUUGCUUAAAUGUAGACCACGUGGUGGACCUGUUUUCAUAAAUUAAAUUGCAGUGAAAAGAUAAGUAUAUGUUUAGAUAAAUUUGGUUUUUAAAGCUACUUGCCCAUAGUUUAGGUGAAAAAAUUUCAAUGUUAAUUUCCGCCAUGUUUGGCAUAUAAUGUAUAUAUGAUAUGACACUGAAAAAAUGAUGAAGUGGGUGAAAAUAAAGUUAGAUAUAAAAAAAAAAUGCAAGAAUAAUGUAAAUUGACUGCAUUACUUCAAAAGCGUUGAAACUGUUUGUUCCUUCUGCACACUAUAUUUGGUUAUUUUUAAAGAGGCAUCACAAAAUAGCUGUAUACUUUUGUAUUUCCAUGAUGGUAAUUAUACAUGUUUUGCAUGAAGAAAAUGAGAAAUAAUAAGUAUCUAGUUACAAAUUGACAGGGACAUAUAUAUUGCCAAGACAAUGUGUGUAAUGUUUUAAGAUUUAGCAAUAUGUACAUAAAUCAGUGUAUUGAGUUAAAUUUCGAUCACAUUUUGUUUCAACAGUUUUUAAGAUAGUUAUUCAUAUAUAAUUUUGAAACUAUGCUGAAAAGAGAUUCCAUGGAUAAGUUUGCAGAUGAAGUUGGCAAAACACAUUUAUUCAGGAAAGGCCUAAAUUGUCCACCUAAAAUUUUGUGGUAUAGCUGUAUUUUAAGAAUGAUUUUCAUGAAGAUUUUGUUGGUGAAAAAGUAGGUCACUAGGUAGUGGUGGGUCUUUAACAGUAUCUUUCAAAAAAAAUUUAUGCCACUAGUCACUUCAGAGUACCCUCUUGUUAUGGAAUUUUGAGAAAAAUUAUAAGAGAUGAUCAGCUUAACGUAGAGAUCGUUUAUUGAUGUGCAAUUCAGUAUUCAGAAUUGGUUAGAACUAUGAUAAAAAUUUAGUAUUUGUUCUUAUAUUUUAGUUGUAACAUGAAGUCACUAAAACGUCAGUUAUGUUGAUUUUGAAUCGGGUGAUGUUGUGUUUAGCACAGAAGCUUUGAUUUGGUUAAUUGUAGAACACGUGGUAUAUGUUUUCAAGAAUAAAAUUGCCGUGAAAAGAUAAGUAUAUGUUUUAGAUAAAUUUGUUUUUUAAGACUACUCGGCCAUAGUGUAGGUGAAAAUUUCAAUAUGUUCAUUUCUGCCAUGUUUUGCAUAUGACACUGAAAAAUGAAGUGGGUGAAAAUAAAAGUUAGAUAUUGGGAAAAAUGCAAGAAUAAUGUAAAAUGUGUGCAUUAUUUCAAAAGCGUUCCAACUGUUUUAUACUUUCUGCACAAUAUAUUUGGUUAUUUAUAAAAGUAUCUUGCAAAACUCUUAUGCCUAUAAGUUUGUACCACUAGUCAUUUCAGAGUACAUUUAUGGAUUUUUGAGACAAUUUAUUACUGAGUUAGCUAUGUUGCUUUUAGCCUUUCGUGCAUUAGUACGUUUUUUGCCAUUAAGUCAUGCAUUAUUGUGUUGACUGUCUUAUUGCAGUUGUGUGAUAAAUUCAACUACAAAAAGAAGUACAUCUGUGAAAGAUAUUGUUUUGGUAUAUUGAGCUGUUUUAAAGAACGACCGUGCUAUGAUGCAUUUGUUUUUUACAUUUUUGCCGUACUUUGAGACCACUGACCGUUUUAUUUUUGUUAUACUAUGAGAGUUUUACAUGCAGAUCAAUCUUCAAUCUGUUGAUUGUUGUUUUCAGAUGUCGUGAUUUGGAAAACGUUGAUUGGUAGAUGAUAUUUAUUUUAGAAGUUGUAAGGCUAACAAAAAAUUACAAUGUACGAAAAACUGCUAUGAAAAUAUGAAAUAUCUAAUAUAUAAUGUUCUUUUCAAUGACGGAUUAUCACGUUUUGAUAUAUUCAGUUGUUUUACGACCGUGCUGUGAUGGUGUUUGUUCUUGUAAUUUUUCGAAUAAGAGGCUGCUGUCCGUUUUACCUUGGCUUUUACACCAAAAUAUAAUCAUUAAUCCAUUAAUUAUUUCAGAUGUGCUAACCGUAACAUUGUUUGGCUGACAUAAAUUUCAGACGUUUUCAAACUGUAGUUAUUAGCUUAACGAAGAGAUUGUUUGAUUGAUAUACUGUUAGAUAUUUUAAUUAAAAAUAUGUGAAAACUGCGACGGAAGAUAAGUAUUUGGCUAUAAUGCGGAAAUAGUGACCGUUUUACUUUGGUCGUGCUAGGAAAGCAUUUGCGUUUCUUGGUGAAAAAGAAACAUUUUACUGUGGCCGUGCUGAGAAAGCGUUGGCUGUUUAUUUUAACCGUACAUUAUUGCGUUGACUGCCUUAGUCCGUGUUGUGAAAACAUUAGCUAUGACACUUUUACUUUUGCCAUAUUUUGAAAGUGUGGGAUGCUUUGUUCUCGUCGUGCAUAAUUGCGUUGACUUUCUUAUUAUUAGUGUUGUGAAAACGUUAGGUAUUGUACUUUACGUCGGCUGUGCUAUGGAAGUGUUGGCUGUUUUAUUUUUGUCGUGUAUCAUUUUGUUGACCGUUUAAUUUCUGUGUUGUGAAGUCAUUAGCUACAGCAUUGGGUACUGCAUUAAUGAAUGAGUAUUAUAUUUUGAUAAAUGAAGUUGUUUUUAAAACGACGGGGUUUUUGUCUUUUCAUUUUUGACAUAUUCAAUUACGUUAAUUGUGCUGGGAUAUAUAUAUGUAUAUUUAUUUUAUCUAGAUCAAUCGUUAAUCUUAUUAUGUUCUUUUCAGAUGUAGUGAUCAGUGUUACCUUGUUUGGUGGAUAUUUAUUUCUGUUGAGCUAAGAACAACAAUGAAUAGAUAAGUAUACAUUUGUAAUAUAGGGAGUCGCUUCAAACUUAAUUUAAAAGGAUACGCGAAAGCACUGAUUUUUUACAUUGUGCUUGUACGGCUAAGUGUUACCUGUUCAAGCUCAAUUUGCUAAGGAAAUUAUGCCCGUUUUGCUUUAACUGUACUGUAAAAGGUUUUACUGUUUUGACUGGUUAUAACGCAAAAGAGCUGACUAGCCAAACAAGUGUUCAUAUCAAACUCUGCAGUAAGUGUUACUUUUAGAUGUUGUGAAUAGUUUAACGUAUAUCGUUUUAGUGAAACUUUGAUAACAAGACAUGAUGUUCAUUUUUUAUAUUUCGAGUCCGUGAUGCGAAAACAUUAGCCGUUUCAUUUCUGCUAAACUUUGAAAUGUUGUCUGUAAUUUAUUUUUGCCGAGUUCUUUCCAAAUGAAAUAUUUAAUAUGUGAAUUAAUAUUUUCAGAUGGUGUGCAAGUUGUAGCUUAAUGUAGAUAGUAAGAUGGAUAUGUAAUUCAUAUAAAACUUGGUGAGAACUGCAAUGAAAGAUAAGUAUACUUUUUGAGUAUCAAGCUAUGUGUCUAUUUUACUUCAGCUGUUCUGUGAAAGCGGUGGGUGUUUGGAAAAAAUGACCGUUUUACUUUGGUAGUGCUGUUGAAGCGUACGCUGUAUCGAAAAAGUGACCGUUUGGUCGUGUUGUGAAAGCGUUUGCUGUAAAAAGUGAUAUUUUGCUUUGGCUGUGCUGAGAAAGCAUGGGCUGUAAAUUUUAGUCGUGCAUUAUUGCGUUGACUGUCCUUUGAAUGCUUUGUCUAUGAUACAUAAAUAUUAGGCCGUGCUGCGUUUACUUUGGCUAGCGUUCUGAAAACUUUGGAUAUUUCCAAAAGAAUCUUUUGAAUUUAUUACACUACAAUUACCUUCUUUGUUUAGCUCGAUUGGAAUGCUGUCAAAUACUAAGACCUGUAUCCUAUAUUUGUGUUUGUUGUUUUUGUAGUUAGGAACAUGAAAUUAGUGAAUAAUUGAUUUACUCACGAAAUAGAGUGAGUAAAUAAAAUUAUUCACGUUUUUCAUCGUCUGCUAACUAUUUUGCCUCCAGUUCCCGGUAGUUAUUUUACCGCCUUUUCUGCUUGCAAUUCACGAUUUUCUCAUGUUUUCAGUGCACUAUAUAAGUGAUUGUUAAUUGAUAUUCCUCACUCGAGGUUGAAUAUUUGACAGCAUAACAAGUAUUUUGAUUAUUUGUUUAUUCCCUCCCACCCACCCUAACAGACAUUUCAAGUUUCUGAAUAGUUAUUGCUGAUGGCUUGUAACUGUAUUCGAAUAUCAAAGGCAGAUUUGACAUUUUGACUGUGAUUUAAACAAGAGUAAUCAUUUAGCUCUAGAGAGAAUCCUCAGGUCAGACAUUACGUCUCCUUUAUGUUCUGAUAGAAAAUAAGGUUCACAGUUACGUACCUUAUAUUUCAAGGGUCUUUAGACAUGAACAAUUCCUUGAUAAUUAUUACUCUUGAGUAUUCAUAUAUUCCUAGAACUUUAAAGGCAGAUAUACAUUUAACAUUAUAUGAGAACAUUUGAAUUCUUCAUGCCAGACUCGGUAUCUACAUUUAGAAAAGUAACAUUCGCAAGUACGCAUUUACUUCUAUAUCUAUAUAUUUUAUGCUGUUUUUUCCCAUGCAAUGUUAUUCUUUCGUUAUCAAAUGGAAAUUGCCGUUAUCCUCUUUUGAGCUAGUUUUCAUUUUAUUUUUGAUUUUACCUUGAAAGAAUGUUAUGUUUUACACACUGCACAUUUUUCUUAUUUUGUGGUUAUUCAACGAAGCUGAGAGAGACCAGAAUUGCCAUCUUAUAUGCUGUUUAAUUAUUCUAGAUAAGAUGAGUUCAAGUUAUUACAUUUGGUUCAUUCGGGACCUAAUAGAAAGCACAUUUUUAAAGUUUAGAUUUUCAUGUACAUCUGAUUGUAUGUUUGCCUUAAAUUUUGAUAGUAUGUUUUCAGGCUGAGUGGUGUACAAAGAUAAAGAUAACCACAUUUACCCCACUUCUACUGGUCGAUCAUCAACACAUCGCACAACAUCGUACCGUCUGACAUUUGCAAGACAAAUAUAUUCGUAUUUUUUGUACAUUGGAAUGCUGUCAAAUACUAAGACCUGUAUCCUA
Molecule: long non-coding RNA, 5257 nt
Organism: Mercenaria mercenaria
Lineage: Eukaryota; Metazoa; Mollusca; Bivalvia; Venerida; Veneridae
Exons: 2
Source: RefSeq, a predicted model, not a curated record